GGUCUGUUGGCUUGAGAGUGACUCAGUAAUCAAUUAAGGGGAGUCAAUACAUGAGCUAGGAAGAGGGACUUCUCUGAUGUAGGUGGAAUCAUUUCAUGUGAGUGGCUGUCUUUUAGACCUUUGCCUCACAGAGGACUCUAUUGGAUUUCUAGGAGAGAAGGCAAAACCAAAAUAGUUGUGAAAAAUAAUAGCACUUGGUGCAACUGUGUGAGUGAGUCUAACCAACCAGAUAGCCAGAUCUGAGCACUGGCUGGUAGAGAAGUGUCCUGAUUUUACAAGAGGCGAGCAGCCUUUGCAGACGAUAGCUAAGAAUGCUGCCGAGCUGCUCAAGGAGGAUGAGGAGGAGCUAGGGAGCUGUCGUCUUUCAAAUGAGGAAGCACCAAGAAGAAGCUCUCACCACUCCCGUCAACCAGCCAGCUUCUAUUCCCAGGGCUUCCCAGGUGGCUCGGUGGUAAAGAAUCCACCUGCUGGUGCAGGAGAUGCAAGAGAUGUGGGUUUGAUCCCUGGGUUAAGAAGAUACCCUGGAGGAGGAAAUGAAAACCCACUCCAGUGUUCUUGCCAGGGAAAUCCCGUGGACAGAGGAGCCUGGUUGGCUGCAAUCCAUGGAGCUGCAAAGACUUGGACACAACUGAGCACAGCACAGAGCUCAGGUACACACUCAGUGGUCUGUUCCCACCAUCGGAUUGCACUUCACUGCUGUCCAAGGCCAAGGCCACCACAGACUCUUCAGUAUGCUAGAUGCUGUGAAUCAUCAUGCCUGAAUGACUGGGAUCCCUCAAGAGUUGGAACCACGUUAUUAAUGAGUGUGCUGUGGAGAGGACCAGAGAAGUGGAAGUUGCUCACUUCCGUAAGAUGGCAAGGUGCUCUCUGUCCCAGCGGAAAUACACGUGGCAGAAUCCCAGAGUUGCAGCCAAGACAGAACCUUGGCUUUAAUCACUGUUCCUCUGACUUCUCUUCAAG
Molecule: long non-coding RNA, 960 nt
Filed under: Capra hircus (goat)
Lineage: Eukaryota; Metazoa; Chordata; Mammalia; Artiodactyla; Bovidae
Description: lncRNA (ENSCHIG00000002734.1)
Source: RNAcentral